RNAcentral lists this ribosomal RNA (279 nucleotides) under Ranitomeya ventrimaculata (Amazonian poison frog). Its description in RNAcentral is "partial 12S ribosomal RNA". It matches the Rfam family "Bacterial small subunit ribosomal RNA", at positions 875 to 1289 of the family's 1533-position model. The record is from RNAcentral. Lineage: Eukaryota; Metazoa; Chordata; Amphibia; Anura; Dendrobatidae.
GGGAACUACGAGCCAAGCUUAAAACCCAAAGGACUUGACGGUACCCCACAUCCCCCUAGAGGAGCCUGUCCUGUAAUCGAUAACCCCCGUUUAACCUCACCAUUUCUAGCAACUCAGCCUGUAUACCUCCGUCGUCAGCUUACCACGUGAGCGCUAGUAAGCUCAAUGUUUUUUCAACUAAACGUCAGGUCAAGGUGCAACACAUGAAAUGGGAAGAGAUGGGCUACACUUUCUAACAUAGACCACACGGAAGACUAACUAUGAAAUCUAGUCAGAAGG